This 122-nucleotide non-coding RNA is filed under the name Cystobacter fuscus. RNAcentral describes it as "SAM-I-IV sequence". It matches the Rfam family "SAM-I/IV (S-adenosyl methionine) riboswitch aptamer". Rfam says of the family: It is found upstream of a number of genes which code for proteins involved in methionine or cysteine biosynthesis. It has been found mostly in the order Actinomycetales. Lineage: Bacteria; Pseudomonadati; Myxococcota; Myxococcia; Myxococcales; Archangiaceae. The record is from RNAcentral.
UCUCAGCAUCCAGAGCGGCCUCCGCUUCACGCGGUGGCCCGACAACCUGGAGUCGGACCUCCAAGGUGUCCAAACGAUGCGGCUCGAGGAGAAAUACCUCCCGGGCAAUCCAAGAGUCCGAA